AAGACUAUAGACCUGCGGAGUACCUGCGGAGGGAUCAUUAUUGAGUUCAUAAAGGUGGGUGGUAAUUCUCUUUUGGAUUACCAGCCUCCUUUCUUCUCUUCACCCUUUGUUAUUAUUUCUUAGUUGCUUUGGUAAUGUCUUUGGAUCUUACCAAGGGACCAUUUUAAACACAUGUUAUCCAAUAAUUAGGAGUCUUCUGUCUGAUUUUUAUAACUUAAUAAGUAAUAAAACUUUUAACAA
Molecule: unclassified non-coding RNA, 240 nt
Filed under: soil metagenome
Description: partial contains 5.8S ribosomal RNA, internal transcribed spacer 2, and large subunit ribosomal RNA
Source: RNAcentral